AUGAACGCUGGCGGCGUACUUAAUACAUGCAAGUCGAACGGAAACAGUAGCAAUAUUGUUUUAGUGGCGAACGGGUGAGUAACGCGUUGGUGACCUGCCCCGAAGAGAGGGAUAACAGUUCGAAAGGAUUGCUAAUACCUCAUGUGGUUAUAUGGUUUAGAAGCUUAUAACUAAGCGGAUUUAUUCGCUUCGGGAGGGGCCUGCGUCCCAUCAGCUAGUUGGUAAGGUAAUGGCUUACCAAGGCUAUGACGGGUAGGGGACCUGAGAGGGUGGCCCCCCACAAUGGAACUGAAACACGGUCCAUACACCUACGGGUGGCAGCAGUAGGGAAUAUUGGUUAAUGUGGGAAACCGCGAACCAGCAACGCCGCGUGCACGAUGAAGGCCUUCGGGUCGUAAAGUGCUUUUAGAGAGGAUGAGGAAGGACAGUACUCUCUGAAUAAGCCUCGGCUAACUACGUGCCAGCAGCCGCGGUAAAACGUAGGAGGCGAGCGUUAUCCGGAUUUACUGGGCGUAAAGCGCGUGUAGGCGGUCUGACAAGUUGGAUGUGAAAGCUCCUGGCUUAACUGGGAGAGGUCGUUCAAAACUGUUAGACUUGAGAGUGGUAGAGGGAGGUGGAAUUCCGGGUGUAGUGGUGAAAUGCGUAGAUAUCCGGAGGAACACCAGUGGCGAAAGCGGCCUCCUGGACCAUUUCUGACGCUCAGACGCGAAAGCUAAGGUAGCAAACGGGAUUAGAGACCCCGGUAGUCUUAGCUGUAAACGAUGUGAACUAGGUGUCGGUGGGUUCAAAUCCAUCGGUACCGAAGCUAACGCGAUAAGUUCACCGCCUGGGGACUACGGCCGCAAGGUUA
This 850-nucleotide ribosomal RNA is filed under the name uncultured bacterium. RNAcentral's name for it is "bacterial SSU rRNA". It matches the Rfam family "Bacterial small subunit ribosomal RNA", at positions 29 to 896 of the family's 1533-position model. The record is from RNAcentral.